This 292-nucleotide ribosomal RNA is filed under the name uncultured bacterium. Its description in RNAcentral is "partial 16S ribosomal RNA". RNAcentral also lists the same sequence under 2 other names. The record is from RNAcentral.
GGACUACCGGGGUUUCUAAUCCCGUUCGCUCCCCUAGCUUUCGCGCCUCAGCGUCAGAAAAGGUCCAGCACGUCGCUUUCGCCACCGGCGUUCCUUCCGAUAUCAACGCAUUUCACCGCUCCACCGGAAGUUCCACAUGCCCCUACCUCCCUCGAGACGGCCAGUAUCAAAAGCUAUUUUCCGGUUAAGCCGAAAGAUUUCACCCCUGACUUGGCCGCCCGCCUACGCGCCCUUUAAGCCCAGUGAUUCCGAACAACGUUCGCACGGUUUGUCUUACCGCGGCUGCUGGCAC